This 254-nucleotide ribosomal RNA is filed under the name uncultured bacterium. Its description in RNAcentral is "partial 16S ribosomal RNA". It matches the Rfam family "Bacterial small subunit ribosomal RNA", at positions 524 to 776 of the family's 1533-position model. The record is from RNAcentral.
CACGUAGGGUGCGAGCGUUGUCCGGAAUUAUUGGGCGUAAAGAGCUCGUAGGCGGUGUGUCGCGUCGGCCGUGAAAACCUGCAGCUUAACUGUGGGCGUGCGGUCGAUACGGGCAUCACUGGAGUUCGGCAGGGGAGACUGGAAUUCUCGGUGUAGCAGUGAAAUGCGUAGAUAUCGAGAGGAACACCAGUGGCGAAGGCGAGUCCCUGGACAACACCUGACACUGAGGCACGAAAGCCGGGGGAGCAAACAGG